UGAGAGGGGUACCUAUGAACAUCAGC
Molecule: non-coding RNA, 26 nt
Filed under: Rattus norvegicus (Norway rat)
Lineage: Eukaryota; Metazoa; Chordata; Mammalia; Rodentia; Muridae
Source: RNAcentral